AUACGUAGGGCGCGAGCGUUAUCCGGAAUUACUGGGUGUAAAGGGCGCGCAGGCGGGUAGGCAAGUCAGGUGUGAAAUACGGGGGCUCAACUCUCGGGCUGCACUUGAAACUGCAUAUCUUGAGUGAUGGAGAGGCAGGCGGAAUUCCCGGUGUAGCGGUGAAAUGCAUAGAUAUCGGGAGGAACACCAGUGGCGAAGGCGGCCUGCUGGACAUCAACUGACGCUGAGGCGCGAAAGCGUGGGGAGCAAACAGGAUUAGAUACCCUGGUAGUCCACGCCGUAAACGAUGGAUACUAGGUGUGGGGGGACUGACCCCCUCCGUGCCGGAGUUAACACAAUAAGUAUCCCACCUGGGGAGUACGUUCGCAAGAAUGAA
Molecule: ribosomal RNA, 376 nt
Filed under: uncultured bacterium
Lineage: Bacteria
Description: bacterial SSU rRNA
Rfam family: Bacterial small subunit ribosomal RNA
Source: RNAcentral